Molecule: ribosomal RNA, 276 nt
Filed under: Rhipicephalus sanguineus (brown dog tick)
Lineage: Eukaryota; Metazoa; Arthropoda; Arachnida; Ixodida; Ixodidae
Description: partial 16S ribosomal RNA
Source: RNAcentral
GGUAUUUUGACUAUACAAAGGUAUUGAAAUAAGAUUUUAAUUGAAUGCUAAGAGAAUGGAAGUCCAGAAAAAAACUUUUUUUAAAUUAAAAAUUGAAGUUUUUUUAAUUUGUGCAGAAACAAUUAUUUAUAUUAAAGACAAGAAGACCCUAUGAAUUUAUUAAAUUUUUAUUUAAUAUGUAAUUACUAUUAGAAAAAUUUUGGCUGGGGCGGCUAGAAAAUAUUAUAAACUUUUUAAAAAUAAAAUGAUCCAUUAUUAAUGAUUUUAUGUUAAAUA